This 528-nucleotide ribosomal RNA is filed under the name Streptomyces sp. XKBH13. RNAcentral describes it as "bacterial SSU rRNA". It matches the Rfam family "Bacterial small subunit ribosomal RNA", at positions 377 to 915 of the family's 1533-position model. The record is from RNAcentral. Lineage: Bacteria; Bacillati; Actinomycetota; Actinomycetes; Kitasatosporales; Streptomycetaceae.
CGAAGCCUGAUGCAGCGACGCCGCGUGAGGGAUGACGGCCUUCGGGUUGUAAACCUCUUUCAGCAGGGAAGAAGCGAAAGUGACGGUACCUGCAGAAGAAGCGCCGGCUAACUACGUGCCAGCAGCCGCGGUAAUACGUAGGGCGCAAGCGUUGUCCGGAAUUAUUGGGCGUAAAGAGCUCGUAGGCGGCUUGUCGCGUCGGAUGUGAAAGCCCGGGGCUUAACCCCGGGUCUGCAUUCGAUACGGGCAGGCUAGAGUUCGGUAGGGGAGAUCGGAAUUCCUGGUGUAGCGGUGAAAUGCGCAGAUAUCAGGAGGAACACCGGUGGCGAAGGCGGAUCUCUGGGCCGAUACUGACGCUGAGGAGCGAAAGCGUGGGGAGCGAACAGGAUUAGAUACCCUGGUAGUCCACGCCGUAAACGUUGGGAACUAGGUGUGGGCGACAUUCCACGUCGUCCGUGCCGCAGCUAACGCAUUAAGUUCCCCGCCUGGGGAGUACGGCCGCAAGGCUAAAACUCAAAGGAAUUGACG